AAAAAAAAAAAAAAAAAAAAAAAGUAGCAUGGAUAUAUGCCUCUGUGUGAGGGUAAAGUGGUAAGGAUUGAGAAUAUUAAACCUGUAUUACUGGGGAAAAUGGGUGACUUUAGCACAAGUGAUUAUAGAUACAAGGAAUUAAUAAAGAAAAACAAAAAUUGCUAAGAAUUAUUUUAGGCUACAAAAAAAUUUUAACAACUAUAUGAAAUAUUAUUUAUACAUAAAUUGCCACAAGGUAGAUUUUUUCUUAAAUACUUAUCCAAUGUUAACCGGUAUUACAGGCCAGGCACAGUGGCUCACGCCUGUAAUCCCAGCACUUUGGGAGGCCGAGGUGGGCAGAUCAUCUAAGGUUGGGAGUUCGAGACCAGCCUGACCAACAUGGAGACACCCCGUCUCUACUAAAAAUACAAAAUUAGCCGGGUGUGGUGGAGCAUGCCUGUAGUCCCAGUUACUCAGGAGGCUGAGGCAGGAGAAUGACUUGAACCCGGGAGGCAGAGGUUGCAGUGAGCCGAGAUUGUGCCAUUGCACUCCAGCCUGGGCAACAAGAGCAGAACUCCGUCUCCAAAAAAAAAAAAAAAACAAAAAACAAAAAAAAAACAAAGUCUCUAGCAAGUACAAGAGGUCAAAUUGUAAAACUGUCGUAACUCUGAUUCUCC
Molecule: long non-coding RNA, 656 nt
Filed under: Homo sapiens (human)
Lineage: Eukaryota; Metazoa; Chordata; Mammalia; Primates; Hominidae
Description: HSALNT0346886
Source: RNAcentral